UACGUAGGGUGCAAGCGUUAAUCGGAAUUACUGGGCGUAAAGCGUGCGCAGGCGGUGAUGUAAGACAGGUGUGAAAUCCCCGGGCUUAACCUGGGAACUGCAUUUGUGACUGCUUCGCUGGAGUGCGGCAGAGGGGGAUGGAAUUCCGCGUGUAGCAGUGAAAUGCGUAGAUAUGCGGAGGAACACCGAUGGCGAAGGCAAUCCCCUGGGCCUGCACUGACGCUCAUGCACGAAAGCGUGGGGAGCAAACAGG
Molecule: ribosomal RNA, 253 nt
Filed under: uncultured bacterium
Lineage: Bacteria
Description: partial 16S ribosomal RNA
Rfam family: Bacterial small subunit ribosomal RNA
Source: RNAcentral